GUGACAGGGAGCCAGUAUUAGCUUCCUACCCAGGGGCAGAGAGGAGGUGAUCCCAUUGGUGUGUCAUCCUGAGAAGUCACAAGGUCACAAUAGCUCAACCACAAGGAAGGAAGAGAAGGGGCAGGUUUUCAAGGACAGGCCCAAGACCCAAGGGGGUGUCCAGUGAGAGGCGCCCUCAGCUGGGGAGAGACCAUCUCAUGCUUCCCUACUGAAUUCCGAAUGCAAGCACAUCUGGAUCCAGUUGUCACUGGCCUUUUCAGUUACGUGCCUUUUUCUUCUCGCUUAAGACAAGUUUGGUUGGAUUUCUGUUCCUUCCAGUUGUAAAUCCUCAUUAAUGAGGAACUGCAAGCUCCAUGGGGUCAGGAUCUCUGCACUCUUUGCCACCUUCUCCUCAGCACCCGUAAGAGUGCCUAGCAUCUAGCUAGCUCUCGGGAAAGCCUGUGGAAACCCUGGAUGGAUGAUACAAGUGGAGACAAUAGCAUCUCCUUUGUAAAUCUGCUCUUUUUAACAGAAAAGUGAUUCUUGGUAAACAUUAUUUUCUUUUCCAUUUUGUUGCCAUUAUCCUAUAAACUCUUUCUAAAUUAACUCCCUAAGAGGAACCCUAGUAACUCUUUAUGGCUUUAAUUCUUAGUGGGACUUUUUAUUAAGUUCCCUCUCAUGGAGAGGCAGAGUAGGUAACUGCCUGUUGCAUCCACUGUUAGGUUUUAAGUAAGAAAACCACUAGACGUUUGGCCACAAAGAGGUCACAGGUCAUCUGGUUUUACCUCCUACCUCCAGGCAGACAGAUUUAUAAACUGCAGGGUUGUCCCAAGAACACAGUGAUGCGACUGAGGAAAGGUGCCAAGAGGCACAGCUAGACGAUGUAAAGCUCCCUUUGUGACAAAGAUGGGAAAACUUCAGGAGAUUCUACACAAAGUGAGAUAGGGAGAUAAGUGCAGGUGCCCAGAGCACCCCACAAGGCUGCACAGCUGUGGGGGAAAUCAGUAAUGAGCAUCGACAGAGGCCCGGGUCUACUUGGACAGGAACCAUCUGAGACGAAGAGCUGUCAGUGCAGGACCAUAGCUUGUGCAAUUCUCCUGCUCAUCGAAUUCAGCAUUUAAUCAUGCUAAAAAUCUAGAUGAUUACUUCUUUGCCUCCUACACCUUUCUAUUUCUGGACUUGAGCCCAUGACUCCUAUUAAAUUUUCCAGGAAAAUGUUAAACAGCUGGUCAGCAUUCUUCCUUUAACCACCUUGGACGACAGCAAAUCACCUAUUUGCCAUCAUCUCCUGGGCAUUGGAAUUUAAAAAAUAAAAACACAGCUCUUAUCUCUUUCCCUCAUAGUAUCAUUUUCUGUCCCUUGAUUCACCCUCAUCGUUCAUUUCUGGACCCUCUCCAGCUUUUUCCCAUUCUGCCUAAAUGUUGGAGGCCAAAGCAUGACAUAAUGCUGAUGCAGACAUCUCUCUGAUGUGACUUGCAGCCUAAACAAUUUCCAGCAGCGUCUUUCCCAUUUCAUAUUUCAGUGGCUGCCACUCUUAAAAUUAAGGGAAUCGAGUGACCAACUGACACAUUCUUAGCAUGUGUCUGUUCCACGUGUGGCCCCUCACAGCCCAAGGGUUUCAAUGGGGAGCUUCCAGAAUUAAUUCAUUCUGUCCCUAAUCAUUAACAGAGUGUGAAAUUCAAUAUUUGAUCACUUGAAACUUCAACCUCCUUGAGGGCAGGGACCACAUAUUUCAAUGUUUUGUUCUGAGGCACUUACUGGGAAGCAAUCAGCUGGGUAUAGGAAUUGGAAAAGAAUUUUCCAUGGAAGGUGCUAUGGACUUUGUGAUCCCCUCCCCCCUCAGUUCUUAUGUUGAAGUCCUAAGCUUCAGUGUGACUAUAUUUAGAGACAGGACCUUUAAAGCAAGUAAGGCCAGGUGAGGGAGGAGACAACACAGUCACUCACUUGUUCUUUAGAGAGAGUGCAUAGGUCUCCAGGCCAGAGAGACAUGGGUUUGAAUCUUACCCACUAUGUUUACUACAAGAGUGAAGAUGAACCUAACCUACAAGAAUCUUGGUUUCUCAUCUAUUAAGGGAGGAUAAGAGCACCAUCACUUGGGGUUGGUGGGAUGAUUUAAUUUGUUGGCCUGACAAGUAAUAGGUACUCAGUAAAUGGCAGUCAUUGAAUUGUCAUUCAAUCAUUCAUUCAUUCCAUAGUAUUCCAGGCACCUCAAAUACAGUGGUAACCAAUUGACAGGAUAUUUUUUUCUUGGAGCUUACAAUCUAGUUCACUGGACAGACAGGAAGCUAUAAAUAAGAUCAUCUGGGGUAACAAGUGCUAUGAAGGAGCUUGACACUAUGAUGCCAGUAGAGAAAAGAGGAGCCUUCAUGAGAUGGCUGUAGCUCGGGAAAUGGAGGCAGAGAGCCACCUGGCACAGAUGAGCCUGCUGCAGACAGUGCUCCAUACAACUUGAGCUUUGUCCAACCCACACCACUUUAGACCAGUACUGCCACAAUAGCCAGCGCACAGAAGACCCUCCAGAAAUGCUCACCAAGUGGGAUAUGUGAUACUGCGGGGAUUUAAAUACACAGCUGCUGAGCCCAGGUAGGUCACAUCCAACACAAACCUUCUAGGGCCUCCUACCCGCACUGCCCACCUCACGCAAGAAGCCACCCACUCAGACAUGCUGGUGAACAGGAGAUUUCAGGACUGAAAGUGACCUCACUGUACCCAGUAAAGCCCUGCAGAGCCACCUAAUCUUUCUAUUUUGUCUGCAAAUGCUUUAAAGAAUCCUUCACCAGGGCCAUCUCACACUAACCUCAUGGAUCAAACAAGACCUAUGAAAUUUCAGCUUUUUACCCUGCUGUGUGGAGUCUUCUCACAAGACUGGAGUUCUAACCCUUCCGCUGUCCUGGCAAAACAGGUACCCAGGGUCAGUAGGUCCAAAUACACUCAAUGUCUGGAGGACUUCCGUUAAUUAUGUAUCUCUUAGAUUAAAAAUGCAAAUUCUCCUUGGCCGCCAUUUAGAUCGCCAUGUGAACAAGCUUAUCUCACAGAUUCCAACCCCAGACUGAGCUGGCCAAGUGGGAUGUUUGACAAUGGCUGGGCUCCCAGGAUCUGGAUUUCAUCUCCCCAUGCUGCCCAUGUCCAUGUCUGGUCAGCCUGCCCUGGCUUCCCCUUCAUGGAAAUGCAGAACCCCCACACAAAGACGGCUCCUUUAUUUCACAACAUGAAGGCAAAAAUGCUUAGGGAAGAUUUAGAACUGGCUAAAUUAGGAGCAUCUAAAACUUCCUGCCCACGAAUGUCCCCCAGCGUUUCAUCCACAGCUUUCUCAUUUAAUCGUGGAUGGGGGAAAUUUUAUUCAUCUUAAGCAAUCUCCUCACGGUCUUUGAUCUCCUGAGACUGGCAAACGGUCAUCAGUAAUGAUACCGGCCUUGGCAAUGAUGCUAUCCUCACUAACAGGCUACGUCUCAGCUGAGUAAUUGCCAGCUAAAGAGCACCUCGUCCUAAUUAACCUCUUCAGGGAAUGAAAAUAAAAGCACAAGAAUUUCAGAGUUCACAGGACCUGUGCUCAACCCCUUGUCAUCCAGAUAAGGAAAUUGUGUCUGAGGAUGAUUAGGGCCCAGAGUCCCACUGCCAAUUAGCAGAGUGCCAGGACUAGAAUCUGGAUCUCUAGGCUGACAACUAGAGCACUGGAUUACUCCACCAGCCAGUAAGAGUUGUCGAUAAUGCCUUAUCUCUUUAAACAUGUCCAGUGAUGAGGACUGGGUGAUCUAUGAAGUUACUGAAAUCAGUACAUUGUACUGACUUGAAGCUAAUAAAAUACUGAAUGUUAGCUAACUGGAAUUAGAAUGCUUUUAAACAAUGUUAGUCAAAGAUCUAUUAGUUGAGUAUGUAUUACGUGCUCUUUACCAUGCCCAGCAUUAGGGACCUAGAGAAGACAUAAUGGCUUAUUCCUUCUUUCAGUAACUAUCUACUGAGCACCUAUGUGCUACACAUGGGGAGGGCACAGGUUAAAAGCUUGCUUUUACAGGCAGAUGGCUUUGGUCUCUCACAGUGUGAUUUACUAACUAAAAUGAGAUACUGAUAAUAACCACACAGUUAUUAAGUAUAUUUAUUUGAGAAGAGCUUGGCCCAAUCUUUGGCCCAUUAGUAAGUGAUCAAUACAUCCUAGCUGGGCAGUGUAGGUGGCUCAGUGGUUUCAGCUUAGGGCAUGAUCCUGGAGACCCAGGAUCGAGUCCCGCAUCCGGCUCCCUGCAUGGAGCCUGCUUCUCC
This is a long non-coding RNA of Canis lupus familiaris (dog), 4233 nucleotides long. RefSeq lists it as uncharacterized. Lineage: Eukaryota; Metazoa; Chordata; Mammalia; Carnivora; Canidae. The transcript has 3 exons. The record is from RefSeq and is a predicted model, not a curated record.